RNAcentral lists this ribosomal RNA (227 nucleotides) under Staphylococcus aureus. RNAcentral's name for it is "partial 23S ribosomal RNA". It matches the Rfam family "Bacterial large subunit ribosomal RNA", at positions 2696 to 2925 of the family's 2925-position model. The record is from RNAcentral. Lineage: Bacteria; Bacillati; Bacillota; Bacilli; Caryophanales; Staphylococcaceae.
GAUGGACAUACCUCUGGUGUACCAGUUGUCGUGCCAACGGCAUAGCUGGGUAGCUAUGUGUGGACGGGAUAAGUGCUGAAAGCAUCUAAGCAUGAAGCCCCCCUCAAGAUGAGAUUUCCCAACUUCGGUUAUAAGAUCCCUCAAAGAUGAUGAGGUUAAUAGGUUCGAGGUGGAAGCAUGGUGACAUGUGGAGCUGACGAAUACUAAUCGAUCGAAGACUUAAUCAA